RNAcentral lists this ribosomal RNA (482 nucleotides) under uncultured bacterium. Its description in RNAcentral is "partial 16S ribosomal RNA". It matches the Rfam family "Bacterial small subunit ribosomal RNA", at positions 30 to 507 of the family's 1533-position model. The record is from RNAcentral.
AUUGAACGCUGGCGGCAUGCCUUACACAUGCAAGUCGAACGGUAACGGGCCUUCGGGUGCCGACGAGUGGCGAACGGGUGAGUAAUACAUCGGAACGUGCCCGAUCGUGGGGGAUAACGAGGCGAAAGCUUUGCUAAUACCGCAUACGAUCUACGGAUGAAAGCAGGGGACCGCAAGGCCUUGCGCGGACGGAGCGGCCGAUGGCAGAUUAGGUAGUUGGUGGGAUAAAAGCUUACCAAGCCGACGAUCUGUAGCUGGUCUGAGAGGAUGAUCAGCCACACUGGGACUGAGACACGGCCCAGACUCCUACGGGAGGCAGCAGUGGGGAAUUUUGGACAAUGGGCGCAAGCCUGAUCCAGCCAUGCCGCGUGCAGUAUGAAGGCCUUCGGGUUGUAAACUGCUUUUGUACGGAACGAAAAGCCUUCUUUUAAUACAGGAGGGUCAUGACGGUACCGUAAGAAUAAGCACCGGCUAACUACGUG